GUCUGUGGCCAUACCACCCUUAACAUGCCUGAUCUUGUCUGAUCUUGAGAACCCAAGGGUCGGGCCUGGUUGGUACUGGCU
Molecule: ribosomal RNA, 81 nt
Organism: Cercocebus atys (sooty mangabey)
Lineage: Eukaryota; Metazoa; Chordata; Mammalia; Primates; Cercopithecidae
Source: Ensembl